AGCUGGGUCCUGCGUGCCAGCGGGUUAUGAACCCCGUCAGGCCCGGAAGGGAGCAGCGGUAGUAACCUGAGCUGGCGGCGCAGUCAACCUAGCUAUC
Molecule: signal recognition particle RNA, 97 nt
Filed under: Deltaproteobacteria bacterium
Lineage: Bacteria; Pseudomonadati; Myxococcota; Myxococcia
Description: signal recognition particle sRNA small type
Rfam family: Bacterial small signal recognition particle RNA
About the family: The signal recognition particle (SRP) is a universally conserved ribonucleoprotein involved in the co-translational targeting of proteins to membranes. Archaeal SRP consists of a 7S RNA and homologues of the eukaryotic SRP19 and SRP54 proteins.
Source: RNAcentral